AAUACAAAAAAAUUAGCCAGACGUGGUGGCGGAUGCCUGUAGUCCCAGGUACUCGAGAGGCUGAGGCAGGAGAAUGUCAUGAACCCAGGAGGCGGAGCUUGUAGUGAGCUGAGAUUGCGCCACUGCACUCCAGCCUGGGCGACAGAUGAGACUCCAACUCAAAAAAAAAAAAAAGGGAUGGCUGACUUUCUUGUUAGGGGUUAACACAGCCGGUUCCUUUAUUUUUUUAUUUUUUAUUUUUCUGAGAUAGGGUCUCACUCUGUCACACAGGCUGGAGUGCAGCGGCACAAUCUCAGCUCACUGCAACUUCUGCCUCAUGGGUUCAAGUGAUUCUCAUGCCUCAAGUAGCUGGGAUUACAGGCACAUGUCACCAUGCCCAGCUGAUUUUUUUUUUUUUUGUAUUUUUAGCAGAGAUAGGGUUUCACCAUGCUGGCCAGGCUGGUCUCAAGCUCCUGACUUCAA
RNAcentral lists this long non-coding RNA (462 nucleotides) under Homo sapiens (human). RNAcentral describes it as "non-protein coding lnc-CFAP45-1:1". Lineage: Eukaryota; Metazoa; Chordata; Mammalia; Primates; Hominidae. The record is from RNAcentral.